This is a long non-coding RNA of Plodia interpunctella (Indianmeal moth), 1085 nucleotides long. RefSeq lists it as uncharacterized. The record is from RefSeq and is a predicted model, not a curated record. NCBI's taxonomy places the organism in Eukaryota, Metazoa, Arthropoda, Insecta, Lepidoptera, Pyralidae. The transcript has 2 exons.
UCAAAUUAAAACCUCAAGUUUUUGCUCUCAUACCGCGAUCUAAUUAUCCAGUUAUUGUAGUCUUUAAUUAGUUUCCUGUUAAUAGCUCCGAUAAUUAUCUAAUUUGCGACACGCUGGCUUCCCAUGUCCUUCUCGAGAUAUAAAAGGAUCGUGAGAUUUUUCUCUGAUAUAUUCUUCAGGCUUCACAUUCGCCGGACUGAAUUAUGGGAAAAUUUCAGUUUCUCUUCACACUAAGCCUGCUGUUGCUGGCCACGGCAGCGACAGCAGCCGACGACGUCACCACAACCACCGAAGCUCCGCUGACCACUGCCACCAUCGCCAGCACAGCAUCAGACGCCGUUGGUGCUACCACCAAUAAUACUGCCACAGAUGUGCCCGCGGCUAGUAGAUAGAUUUUAAAAAAACUAGAGAAAACAUGGUACUAACCGCAAACUCGCUGAAGACAAUUUAUUCUUAUUUUAUCAGGCGCUAAUGAAAGUAUAAAUUCGUCCUUAUCACUUUUCUAAUUUUACAUUUCAUGAGAUGUCUCCCAUACAUACAUAUAACUAACAUUAUUGCUAUAUGUAUGUCUAUGUAUGCUAUAAGUAUAUCUACUUAUAUCAAUAAUAUUUGACAAAGAAUAUGUUAAAUGGAAUACCACCUUUUUCGGUUUAGGUACAACCUGUGAAGUAAAACAAAGGAGUCAAAAAUCGAAUCAUUUUGUCAUAAAUUUGAUCUGCACAGCUACUUUUUCGCGUCAUUUUCUAAAACAAUAGGUAUUCAUCCAAACUAUAAACUUAGCAUAAGUACCUAUAUAUCGGAAUGAUUAUAGGAUAUGGUGUGUAAAAGAGUAUAAUAAUUGGAAAGCUUUAGAUAGGUAGGUACCUACUCAAAAACUAUGUUAAUAAAAGUAACGUACCUACUUAUAUAUCAGAAGAAGAAAUUAUUUAUUUUAAAAAAGUAAAGGAAGGUAAAUUUAAAAGUAAAUGAAUGGUUCUUUAAAGGAAUUACUGGACAUAUAAACAAACAGACACGUUGAGGACAUCAUUUGUUUAGUGAGUUUGCAACAUUGUGCCAUAGAAAAAUCAAUUAAAUAAUUAUACAAA